CCAGACUCCUACGGGAGGCAGCAGUGAGGAAUAUUGGUCAAUGGGCGAGAGCCUGAACCAGCCAAGUCGCGUGAGGGAGUACUGCCCUAUGGGUUGUAAACCUCUUUUGUCGGGGAGCAAAAGCCGGACGUGUCCGGCUGUGAGAGUACCCGAAGAAAAAGCAUCGGCUAACUCCGUGCCAGCAGCCGCGGUAAUACGGAGGAUGCGAGCGUUAUCCGGAUUUAUUGGGUUUAAAGGGUGCGCAGGCGGCGUGUCAAGUCGGCGGUAAAAUGUCGGGGCUCAACCCCGGCCGGCCGUUGAAACUGGCGUGCUCGAGUUGGAGAGAGGUAUGCGGAAUUCGUGGUGUAGCGGUGAAAUGCAUAGAUAUCACGAAGAACCCCGAUUGCGAAGGCAGCAUACCGGCUCCACACUGACGCUGAGGCACGAAAGCGUGGGUAUCGAACAGGAUUAGAUACCCCUGUA
This 462-nucleotide ribosomal RNA is filed under the name uncultured bacterium. RNAcentral's name for it is "bacterial SSU rRNA". It matches the Rfam family "Bacterial small subunit ribosomal RNA", at positions 331 to 792 of the family's 1533-position model. The record is from RNAcentral.